UACGGAGGGUGCAAGCGUUGUCCGGAAUCAUUGGGUGUAAAGGGUGCGUAGGCGGAAGCAUAAGUCGGGGGUGAAAUCUUGCCGCUUAACGGUAAAAUGGCCUUCGAUACUGGUGUUCUUGAGUUCGGAAGAGGUUGGUGGAAUUCGUGGUGUAGCGGUGAAAUGCAUAGAGAUCACGAAGAACACCGGUGGCGAAGGCGGCCCACUGGUCCGACACUGACGCUGAGGCACGAGAGCGUGGGGAGCGAACAGG
This 253-nucleotide unclassified non-coding RNA is filed under the name uncultured Bacteroidota bacterium. RNAcentral's name for it is "uncultured Bacteroidetes bacterium contains 16S-23S intergenic spacer region". It matches the Rfam family "Bacterial small subunit ribosomal RNA", at positions 524 to 776 of the family's 1533-position model. Lineage: Bacteria; Pseudomonadati; Bacteroidota. The record is from RNAcentral.